Carya illinoinensis is the source of this 365-nucleotide long non-coding RNA. RefSeq lists it as uncharacterized. The transcript is spliced from 3 exons. The record is from RefSeq and is a predicted model, not a curated record. Lineage: Eukaryota; Viridiplantae; Streptophyta; Magnoliopsida; Fagales; Juglandaceae.
UUGUUGGCUAUUCCUAUCACUACGGUUGCCUCAGAGUCGGCGUUUAGUACUGGAGGUCGUGUGUUAGAUGCUUAUCGGAGUUCAUUAUCAGCUUCAACUGUGGAGGCCCUCAUUUGUACAUAGAAUUGGCUAUGUGAAAUGCCCAUUGGAGUAGAUAUCAUUGAUCCCGAAAGCUAUAGGCUUGAAUCAGACCUACUCGUGAACCCUAGCAUAGUUGCAGAUGAGUGAUAAUUGUGGAUGAGUUACAAGUACAUGGAUGGGUGAUGCUAUUCAGAUAAAACAUUAUGAGAAUGAAUACCGAAUGGUGGUGGCUACUGGUUUAAAUUUCAGGAAUCAAGACUUUUUUCCUUUCUCGAUGUUCAAGA